AUGUGAAAGCCUUCUGCUUAACGGAAGAACAGCAGUUGAAACUACAGUGCUUGAGUGCGGGAGGGGAGAGUGGAACUUCUGGUGGAGCGGUGAAAUGCGUAGAUAUCAGAAGGAACGCCGGCGGCGAAAGCGGCUCUCUGGCCCGUAACUGACGCUGAGUGUGCGAAAGCUAGGGGAGCAAACGGGAUUAGAUACCCCGGUAGUCCUAACUGUAAACGAUGGGCACUAAGUAGAGGG
Molecule: ribosomal RNA, 237 nt
Filed under: uncultured Planctomycetota bacterium
Lineage: Bacteria; Pseudomonadati; Planctomycetota
Description: uncultured planctomycete partial 16S ribosomal RNA
Rfam family: Bacterial small subunit ribosomal RNA
Source: RNAcentral